UAAGGAAUAUUGGUCAAUGGACGCAAGUCUGAACCAGCCAUGCCGCGUGAAGGAUGAAGGUCCUCUGGAUUGUAAACUUCUUUUAUCUGGGACGAAAACGGGAUUUUUAUCUCAAUUGACGGUACCAGAGGAAUAAGCACCGGCUCACUCCGUGCCGGCAGCCGCGGUCAUACGGAGGGUGCGAGCGUUAUCCGGAUUUACUGGGUUUAAAGGGUGCGUAGGUGGGCUUAUAAGUCAGUGGUGAAAUCUCCGAGCUUAACUUGGAAACUGCCGUUGAUACUAUAGGUCUUGAAUUAUCUGGAGGUAAGCGGAAUAUGUCAUGUAGCGGUGAAAUGCUUAGAUAUGACAUAGAACACCAAUUGCGAAGGCAGCUUACUACAUAUAAAUUGACGCUGAGGCACGAAAGCGUGGGGAUCAAACA
RNAcentral lists this ribosomal RNA (421 nucleotides) under uncultured bacterium. Its description in RNAcentral is "bacterial SSU rRNA". It matches the Rfam family "Bacterial small subunit ribosomal RNA", at positions 355 to 774 of the family's 1533-position model. The record is from RNAcentral.